This 497-nucleotide ribosomal RNA is filed under the name uncultured bacterium. RNAcentral's name for it is "partial 16S ribosomal RNA". It matches the Rfam family "Bacterial small subunit ribosomal RNA", at positions 28 to 507 of the family's 1533-position model. The record is from RNAcentral.
GAUGAACGCUGGCGGCGUGCCUAAUACAUGCAAGUCGAGCGAACGGACGAGAAGCUUGCUUCUCUGAUGUUAGCGGCGGACGGGGGAGUAACACGUGGAUAACCUACCUAUAAGACUGGGAUAACUUCGGGAAACCGUAGCUAAUACCGGAUAAUAUUUUGAACCGCAUGGUUCAAAAGUGAAAGACGGUCUUGCUGUAACUUAUAGAUGGAUCCGCGCUGCAUUAGCUAGUUGGUAAGGUAACGGCUUACCAAGGCAACGAUGCAUAGCCGACCUGAGAGGGUGAUCGGCCACACUGGAACUGAGACACGGUCCAGACUCCUACGGGAGGCAGCAGUAGGGAAUCUUCCGCAAUGGGCGAAAGCCUGACGGAGCAACGCCGCGUGAGUGAUGAAGGUCUUCGGAUCGUAAAACUCUGUUAUUAGGGAAGAACAUAUGUGUAAGUAACUGUGCACAUCUUGACGGUACCUAAUCAGAAAGCCACGGCUAACUACGUG